RNAcentral lists this ribosomal RNA (208 nucleotides) under uncultured bacterium. Its description in RNAcentral is "partial 16S ribosomal RNA". It matches the Rfam family "Bacterial small subunit ribosomal RNA", at positions 568 to 774 of the family's 1533-position model. The record is from RNAcentral.
CUCGUAGGCGGUUCAACAAGUCGGUCGUGAAAGCCCGGGGCUCAACCCCGGGACGCCGGUCGGAACUGUUGUGACUAGGGUCCGGUAGAGGUGAGUGGAAUUCUCGGUGUAGCGGUGGAAUGCGCAGAUAUCGAGAGGAACACCAGUAGCGAAGGCGGCUCACUGGGCCGGUACCGACGCUGAGGAGCGAAAGCAUGGGGAGCAAACA